RNAcentral lists this long non-coding RNA (1092 nucleotides) under Mus musculus (house mouse). Its description in RNAcentral is "predicted gene, 39090". Lineage: Eukaryota; Metazoa; Chordata; Mammalia; Rodentia; Muridae. The record is from RNAcentral.
AGGGGCUGGGCUAGUCACCGCAUGGGAAGCAGAAACCAGACACAGACAGAGAGAGCACCCAGAAGAAAUCAGAGCACAGCCAAACUUCUAAUCAGAGGUAAGAUGCAAAAGGAAGGUCCAGCCUUCUGGAGUAUGCAGAAGGUUUGACAAAGGCUGUCGUGGGGCUAAAUGAAUGUGAUCAUCCAGAGAUAAAUAAGGUCCAACAGAAAACAACAUGAACUAUUCAUUCCCUGCCAGCCAAGAAAAAAAACUGCCCGGAGAGCAACUGGAAAAAGUAAAGCAUAGAGAACAGACAGUGUAGCUCGAAACUGACUCAUUGUUUAAAGACAGAGCAACUCCAGUAGACAGAACAGAAGAUGCUACGGACACCAAACGUUUGGAUAGCUUUGGCCCCCACAGACCAGUGUUCCAAUGCUUGGCCCCCAGGGAGUGGCACUAUUAGGACGUGUGACCUUGUUGGAGGAAGCACAUCACUGUGAGGUGGGCUUAUAGUCUUCUAGUGGUCAAGUUCCCCAAGUGUGCAAUCAGACCCUCCUCCUGGCUGCCUGCUGAAGACAUUCUCCUUGCUGCCUUUUGGAUCAAGAUGUAGAAAUCUCAGCUCCUCCAGCAUCAAGCAUCUGCCUGCAGGAUUCCAUGCUCCCUACAAUGAUGAUAAUGGACUGAACCUCUGAAACUGUAAACCAGCGCCAAUUAAAUGUUUUCCUUGAUAAGAAUUACAUUGGGGGCUGAAGAGAUGGCUCAGUGAUUAAGAGCUCUGACUGCAGGCUGGGCGGUGGUGGCGCACGCCUUUAAUCCCAGCACUUGGGAGGCAGAGGCAGGUGGAUUUCUGAACUCAAGGCCAGCCUGGUCUACAGAGUGAGUUCCAGGACAGCCAGGGCUACACAGAGAAACCCUGUCUGGGAAAAAAAAAAAAAAAAAAAAAAAAAAAAAAGCACUGACGGCUCUUCCAGAGGUCCUGAGUUUAAUUCCCAGCAACCACAUGGUGGCUCAAAACCAUCUGUAAUGGCAUCUGAUACCCUCUUCUGGUAUGUCUGAAGACAGUGACAGUGUACUCAUAUACAUGAAAUAAAUAAAUGAAUAUUAAAAAAAAAA